Physcomitrium patens is the source of this 1660-nucleotide long non-coding RNA. RefSeq lists it as uncharacterized. The record is from RefSeq and is a predicted model, not a curated record. NCBI's taxonomy places the organism in Eukaryota, Viridiplantae, Streptophyta, Bryopsida, Funariales, Funariaceae.
UGGAAAACCAUCCUACCGCCACUUCUUCAUCACUGUCUCAGAUGGAGACCGGCCUCCGACAAGCUCGUCGAGUUCAGUGUUGCUUUGCUUGCCCUCACCAUAUCGCUGUGCUCUGUUGCUUCUACACUACCUGUUCUUCUCGUGCUGCGAUUUCGUGCUGAGUCUCGUGCGAGUAGUGCCACCGCGACAGUCGUUUGUAGAUGUCUCGUUGUUCAAAAGAGGCUGGUGUGAAGAGGAGUUCGGAUCAGAGGGGGGAGCACUUUGUUAAGCUGAGGGUGUCGUGGGUUGAGCGGACUGCAGCGUGAGUGCAAGUUUUGGAGGAUUCAGCGUCAAGGCCUUGACGGGAUCUGAAGCGAUAAGGAGAUAACAGCCAUACCUGGACGAAGAUGGUGUCGUGUGGGGCAGUUCAAAUCCAGGUGUAGGGGGUGCUUUGCUGAGGAUGUCGUGGGUUGAGGGGAUUGUAGCGUGAGUGCAAGUGUUGGAGGAUUAUAGCCUCAAGGCAUCGACGAGAUUUGAAACGAUACAAUGACAACAGCUCUACCUGGCCGGUGCGCAUGAAAUCUUGUCUAUGCUGAAUUGCAUGUAUGGGUGAGGGUUUGCGGCGAGGCUCGAUGCGGAGUUUCACAACAUUAGUUGGUGGGUAAUGAAGUAGUUGCUUUACACGGGUGUGCAUAGGUUUUGCAGUCGUGGUUGAUGCCUUGUCACGAUUACAUGUGAUAGAGGGCAUGCGAGGUGUGUUUGUGAGUUUUGGUGUGGUUGUGUUGAUCGUGUGGGACAAAGGGGCGGUUGUUGUGGAUUUUGUAGAAGAUUGGGUUUGAUGUGAAUUGUAGAAAUUUAUUGUAAUAUUGAUUUGUAUGAAGGAACUAACUUGCAUUACAUAGAAAUCAUUGAUAGUGAAGGCAUUGGAUGCUAUGUGGAAAAAAUAAUGCUAGCGAUAUUUAGUUAUAAAUCUAGGUGUGAGCAUUUGAUGAGUCAUUCAAAUGAAGUGACUAUUUAUUAUGGUGAUUGUUUUAACAUUAGAUAUUUAUAGUAUAAAAUAUUGACAAUAAAGAAUAUUCAUGUGAGAUUGUGAGAUUAGAUAUUUGUAGUAUAAAAUAUUGACAAUAAAGAAUAUUCAUGUGAGAUUGUGAGAUUAGAUAUUUGUAGUAUAAAAUAUUGACAAUAAAGAAUAUUCAUGUGAGAUUGUGAGAAUCUAUAAGAAAAUGUGGAGGUAAUUUAAAUUGAAUUUAAUAAGUUACAAAAUGUGUUGUUUACUUUUGCAUGAAUAGUAUUUUUGUAUUUUGUGUAGAGUGAAAAUGAAAUGUAUAUAACUAAGUAAAGUUUGACAAGAAAUGAAUCUAUAAUUUUUAUAUGAUGGUAAUGCCUCAUGAAUUCAAAAGCUUGUAUAGAAUAGAAGAAGAAUUGAUUAUGAAAACAUGGGAUAUUAAUGGCAAGUGAAUAAAGAAGGAUAUAUGAAGGGUAGAUUGAAAAGAGCAUGUGUAGGAUUAAAUGGUAAGUGUAAUUCAUUAUGAAGAAGAGUGUAUAAUUUAGCACUUCAUGUAGCGAUUAUGUUUGUAUGAUUUUAAGUUCAAUUUAUAAAAUUAGAAAUCCUUCAUACAAGUAUUUAAAGUAUUUAGAAUUGUAAGUUUUGACAUAUUAGUAAAGUGGAUUUUGGACAUCA